Long non-coding RNA from Carassius auratus (goldfish), 149 nucleotides. RefSeq lists it as uncharacterized. The record is from RefSeq and is a predicted model, not a curated record. NCBI's taxonomy places the organism in Eukaryota, Metazoa, Chordata, Actinopteri, Cypriniformes, Cyprinidae. The transcript is spliced from 3 exons.
UUCUACAAGGAACAGAUCACUCAACUAGAGAAGAAGAAUGAGGAAUGCUUCAAGACGUCUGCUGAACAGUUCCACACCGCUGCAACCAGGAGCGAAGCCAAUAUAAAGCAACGUAAUGUGGAUCCGGUGUGUCCUGAACUGCUAUCAAG